Athalia rosae (coleseed sawfly) is the source of this 2297-nucleotide long non-coding RNA. RefSeq lists it as uncharacterized. The transcript is spliced from 2 exons. Lineage: Eukaryota; Metazoa; Arthropoda; Insecta; Hymenoptera; Athaliidae. The record is from RefSeq and is a predicted model, not a curated record.
CAGCAGCAGCAGCAGCAUCAAAAGCAGCAGCAACGUUGCCAGUUGCCACCUCGCCCAUUGACUCAUCUUCUUCUUUCUUUUUGUUUUCAACAUUUUUUUCAUUCGUGUAUCUCUCCGCCGCUCUCCUAAAUUUUUUUAACAAAUCUACGGAAAUACCGACUGCGGAAAAAUUGAAGGGUACAGUUACAACACUGGAACGAUAUAAAAUACGUCUUUUUAAAAUAAACGUUUCAGCCCGAUCGCCCACGCGGAGAUAGAAGUGGGGGUUAAUGGAGAAGAAAAAAAAAAAGAAAGAAAAAAAAAGAAACAAAUAUCAAUCGUCGAUACGAGCGUAAAUCAUGAGGAUAAAUUAUCGGGCACAUGUGUGCGUGAAACUUGUCGAGUUUUCCCCUUUCAUUUUUCGGACGGUAUCUGUACGAAAGCAAAAAGAGAUCAAAGAAGAAUCUGAUACGUGUGAGCGUUGUCGUACCGAGUCGCGUCGCGUUUUUUAGUGGCCGAAAUCGAUCCGAUAUAUAUAUAUAAAUCCUUGGUCACGACCGUGAUUGAGAGGUAUUUGUUAUCUCGGACCGGCGGACUACGCUUUUACAAUUAAAACAACGCGUGCGUCGAAUCGAGUCGUGAAAUUGUCGCGUUAGUAUUCUGUCCCCCUCGCGCGUUCAAACCUGUGUAUAUCGAUACGGGUCGUACAAGUUUCGCUCCCCCGUGAUGGAAAAAACAAAAAACACAAAAAAAAAAAAAAAAAAAAAAAACGGAAUAAAAACAAGCGAGAAUCGAAGAAGAAAAGAAAAUCAGAAACGCGGACGAAAGAUAGAAAGAGUGACGGCGCAGUCUGUGGAAAUUACAGCUGUACGUAUUAAUACGGCGUGAAGUUGUACGUUUUACAGAUAUACACAUAGGGUGUACCGGAAAAAACGUAUGGAGUAUGGAAUGAUCCGAGAGAAAAAUUUUCCCCGAGGGAGAAGGAUGUUGAUUUUUAGGAAUGCAAUAUUUUUUGGAUCUCCAUAAGUGGACUGUAAGCGUUUUUUGGAUGAAAGAAAAAAAAAUAAAUAAAUAAUGAGAGUCGGAUGACUCCGGGGGAGGCUUCAAUUCGGAUUUACUCUAACCCGAGGGUUGCCUGUUUCUCGAUUCUCGCCCACCCGCCUUGACAUCCUGAUAUCUCUCCAAUAAGUGUGGUACAUUAUUAUACCAGAAUCAGGAUUUCUGCAUGGGAAUGAGGAAAUCGCGCGGGCUAGACACUGUGUCGCGGUAUAAUAGACGAUAAUUUAAUUAUACCGGGGAUAGUAUCAUACCAGUUUAUUCUAAGAAUAGAAUACAUCUCUCUCUCUCUCUCUCUCUCGAGAUGUAUUUAUACGCGAUGUACUCGUGUAACGCGUACAUCUGUAGGUGUGCGGUACACGAGGCACGUUUAUUAUUUAAUACGUAAUUCGCGAUGGUAAUGACCCGCUUGCAUCAUUGUACCGCACUGCACUUUAUGAAUAAAAAUCCCGCCAACUCUGCUCCACUCGCUACUCUGUGAAGAAUCACCGGAUUCCUUACGUCUCAAUCGACGAGAUUCGGACGAGAAAAUGAAAGCGAGCGAACGGGAAAAAAAAAAAAAAAAAACUCAUGGAAAAAUUAUCUCGUACGAGCCGCGGUGCGUCUUCCGUCACACGAAUGCGAUCGUCGUAUACGAUAUUAUGUGGAUUAGCUCAGGUUUUUUACGUACAUUAACCUUUAAAUAUUGUAACUACGUAUGUGCGGGACGCCAGAAUUUUAUCUACGUGUGUCAACAGAAAUCCACCGUCACGAUAAGAAUCGAACGUAGCGCGUGGCUGUUUUUAACCCAUACCCACUUUAUUCGUACAACGUAUGAGCAGCCGGUGUUUUUUAUUCCGCCCUUUUAUCCUUUUCGUUGAAAUUUUUCCAAAUUCUUCUUCACUCGACUGUUUACCAAAUACGAGACGUGGGGAGAGAAUCAUUGUCGAAAAAUGAUCCGGUUGUAACGUGCGCGGAGAGAAUCGUCGAACGGCCUCUCCGACCCCAAUCGCCAAACGAUUCAAAAUUCAACGCUCCAAUGAAAUAAUACGUUGUAAGAAGUUUGUAGGUAAUAGACGAAAAUAGAUUCGCUUUUUUAUUUGCCUCGCGAACGACCGAUGCGAUGAGCUUGGCGAUAAUUUUCGCGUUGCCUUCAUAGGAGGCUACACGAUAUUAACAUACAAUACGCGCACGUGGAAAAAAAUGAAAAGCAAAAAAAAAAAAAAAAAAAACCAUUUGAAAAAAAAAAGAAGAAAAAAAAAGGCGGGCGAUCAGAGGAAAAA